This is a long non-coding RNA of Synchiropus splendidus (mandarinfish), 1103 nucleotides long. RefSeq lists it as uncharacterized. The record is from RefSeq and is a predicted model, not a curated record. The transcript is spliced from 3 exons. NCBI's taxonomy places the organism in Eukaryota, Metazoa, Chordata, Actinopteri, Syngnathiformes, Callionymidae.
UACUUUAAAUACUUCGCUUUGCGUAUUUGACAUUUGAUCUUUACAACAUAAAACGUAAAACGACUUAAAAUGUAUGUUUUUUUGGAGGCGAAAAUAUAUAUUUUGGUGCAUUAGUUUAAAAGUUCUUAUGAACCUUGACAUAAGUUUGAAUUUCUAUUGAGGCAUAUUACUGACCAACUCACAGUAAUUGCGGACGGUAAGCGGACAUGUUUAACUGAAAGUUUCACGUCACCCACCAAAGACGUACCGUAGUUUGAGCUUUUAUACUUGCUCAGUACUUUUAAGAAACUGUGGUUAGUUGUCAGAAAAAUCAACAAAUCGUAAACAUGUUGAUUCACAUGAUUUCUGUCUUCGCGUGUGCUAAAUUAGUGCCAGAUUGGUCGACCGACACGUCUUCAGUCUUUUUUUAAUAUGAGAGAAAUGGAGUCUGGAUAUUGAGAAUACACGCAACUGGGUCACGGUUUUUGCCCUUGAAACAUGAAAACGCCGUCUAAAAUUCCCAAAACUGAAAGUGAAGAGAAGCAGACGAGCCUGGAGGAGAUUAAGAAGCUUGAUGUUGAAGUGAUGACAACUCCUCUUUCUGCGAUCAGAUGAUGAGAUUAGAAUCACAAGGCUGUGCGACGAGGUGACAGGCCUGAAGAAGGAUGCGAUGAAGGAUCUACAUCUUCACCUUGGCUUGCGAGCAUCCAGUGAUGUGUGAUGUCCAGUCUGCUUUUGAAGAUGAAAUGCAAUAUAAUUGAUCGCUGCGUUUUCCCAUCGAUGAUUUAAUGUCAUUAAGCUAUGCUGCAGUAUUUACAGUCCGGUUGCUACACGAAGCCUAGCGUUCCUAAUAACCCUGCGCAGAUGUUGCAAGGUCUGUAAAUUGCAUAAAUGCAAGAACUAAACACAGAUGUUUGGAGUUGCCUUAGCCCUUAAUUAUUAAACUUCACUGCGUCUGACUGUCAUUACUUUUGUGUGGAAAUGAUCGUUCUGUGAAUCCGACUCAUUUUCUUCGUCCAUUUUUCUCCCUUGUCGUAAAAUAUCUGCCUUUGGAGAAAAGAUUUUAACAGAUGAUAUGUGUCAUUCUACCAACCAAAACAUUAAAAUUCAGUAGGAGACACAUU